AGUAACGGCGAGUGAAGCGGCAACAGCUCAAUUUGAAAUCUGGCCUCUUUGGGGUCCGAGUUGUAAUUUGUAGAGGAUGUUUCGGGUACCGCCUCGGUCUAAAUUUCUUGGAACAGAAUGUCAGAGAGGGUGAGAAUCCCGUCUUGGACCGGCGGUAGGGCCCAUGUGAAACUCCUUCGACGAGUCGAGUUGUUUGGGAAUGCAGCUCAAAAUGGGUGAGUAUAUUUCAUCUAAAGCUAAAUAUUGGCCAGAGACCGAUAGCGCACAAGUAGAGUGAUCGAAAGAUGAAAAGAACUUUGAAAAGAGAGUUAAACAGUAUGUGAAAUUGUUGAAAGGGAAGCGCUUGCAACCAGACUUGAGCGCGGCGGUCCCCCCUUCCUUUGGUUGAGGUUACUCCGUCGUGGUCGGGCCAACAUCGGUUCUGGGGGCGAGUUAAAGAGCUUGGGAAUGUACCUACGUCUUCGGGCGUAGACUUAUAGCCCCGAGUGUCAUGCGACCUCCCGGGACCGAGGAACGCGCUUCGGCUCGGAUGUUGGCGUAAUGGUUGUAAGCGGUC
This 556-nucleotide ribosomal RNA is filed under the name Exophiala sp. BGE-2017a. RNAcentral's name for it is "eukaryotic LSU rRNA". It matches the Rfam family "Eukaryotic large subunit ribosomal RNA", at positions 82 to 649 of the family's 3401-position model. Lineage: Eukaryota; Fungi; Ascomycota; Eurotiomycetes; Chaetothyriales; Herpotrichiellaceae. The record is from RNAcentral.